This 731-nucleotide long non-coding RNA is filed under the name Danio rerio (zebrafish). Its description in RNAcentral is "lncRNA (ENSDARG00000117277.1)". The record is from RNAcentral. Lineage: Eukaryota; Metazoa; Chordata; Actinopteri; Cypriniformes; Danionidae.
AAUAUCUAUGCAGAAAUAACAAAUUAAAGGGGAAAAAAGAUCACUGGCCUACUGCUCAUGUACAGUAGCUAUGAAGUGAUCAUUCCUCAUAUUCGGUCAGCUGUGUUGUGAUUAGAAAUGAAUUGGCCUAAGUAGCAUUUUGGAGUCUUUAAGGGUUUGGGCGCAGCUAAAAGAAAAAAAAUCCAUAAUCCAGACCAAAGAAUUGCACGAAAACCUCUCUCGCUUUCAUUCUUUUAAGCCUUCUCCUCCACAUCGCGAGUCAGUUACCUGAAUCUAUUGACGUCACCGCGUCUUUCAAAAAGAGAAAUAUUCACCUCAAAAGGUUUUGAUUUCAGCCACAAAGAGGAGGCGCUGGUAUUGAUCAGAGUCGCUGUCUGUCUGUUCUUUUCUCUACCAGGGACCGAAGAGCUCCAGCCUCUAUAGAGGGACUCAGACAGGGUGGGAGGAGAUCCCAGCAGGGUUCAGCUCCUCACCAAUGGGUUUAUGGUCUGAAGACGAGCAGCACUCAUCUCUUUCACAUCCUUUGUAGGUCAGUUCCUAUUUUUACUCGUUUUCUUCCCCUAUUUUUUUUUGUGCAAGGACACCCAUUGUUGUCGCCCGACACAAGCAAAGUCUGUCGUAUUGGUAAACAAAUCAAUUACUCUUUCACAAUGGCUGCGAUGUGCUCAUCAAAGACACAUUAUCACUCUGUGCCGUAUUGUUGUCAUCAUGACACCUCUAAUCAUGGUUAU